GUGAUUGGAUCCAAAUACGUGUGAAAUGAUGUAGAAUUCAUGCAAAAUGAAUUUGAUCCGAGUGUGAGAAAAAUGUGACUUGAAACUCAUCAAAACUCAGCCAAAUGAUGCAUUUUAAGGGUCAAUUAACUUCUGGAUACUUGUUUAAACAUGUUUAGGUCCAAAACACAUGCUAAUUUGGCUUGGAAUUGAGAUUAGUGAAGUUCA
RNAcentral lists this long non-coding RNA (207 nucleotides) under Lathyrus oleraceus (garden pea). RNAcentral describes it as "Pisum sativum (pea) long non-coding RNA (PSAT_LNC001885)". The record is from RNAcentral. Lineage: Eukaryota; Viridiplantae; Streptophyta; Magnoliopsida; Fabales; Fabaceae.